Long non-coding RNA from Synchiropus splendidus (mandarinfish), 761 nucleotides. RefSeq lists it as uncharacterized. The transcript is spliced from 3 exons. Lineage: Eukaryota; Metazoa; Chordata; Actinopteri; Syngnathiformes; Callionymidae. The record is from RefSeq and is a predicted model, not a curated record.
UCGUGUAAAAUGACAAGUCAAUCAAGUCUGAUCCUAUUUUAAUUUGAAUCAUGGAAAAUGAUCAAUUGAAUGUUUCUUGAAGAUCGGGGGGGGGGAGUUAAAGGGGGGAAACAUGCACAGUAAAAAUACGACCUAAAUGUCAGUAGGAAACAAACAGAACUCACAAGGGUGACCAGCUAUGUUUUAACUCCAUACUACGGAGCAGUGUUUUGGAUCAGGCCAGAUCUGCUGAGAGGACAAGUCCAGGAAGCAGGGCAAGCAAACUCACCUCUCACAGAAGGUGUGCAAGCAGGGCAGCACUUUGGGGUUCUGGUAGCGGUCCAGACAUAUACUGCAGAUCAGGAACUGCUUGUCAAUCUGCCGGACCACAGGACUGGGAAUCGUGGCCAUCCUCGAACUCUGACACACAAGUCCUCCUUCCUCCUGGGCACCCUGAGGACAGACGCACAGCGGCCGGGUUCAUAUGAGAGCCUGCACCAACCCCGACCCCAACAGAUCCAGGAAGCCAGCGGGAUAGAGUCAACACUCAAUGACGUCUUCUUCCUCACAAGAAACGGCGCCGAUCAGGGCAAGACAACAAAGGCGUGCACAUCCCAAAUAAUCCCAAAUAUGACGCCUCAGUCCGCAAAUCCCAGCAGCAGCGAUGCGACGGGGGAGAAGUCGACUGAAGAGACGGGCUGUGUUUUUGUCUGUGGGAAUCACACUGCAGCGUCAGGAGUGACCCAGCGUGUUCUGGCUCCCACAGAAUUAAAGGGGACCCC